GAGGGAGCGGAGCUGAGCUGAGCAGCGCGGCUGUCCCGAAUACUGGAUCCAGGAGGAGAUCCUUGCAAAUCCUCAGUGGUUUGCAUGCAAAAUGCAGAGCUGGUGGUGUGCAGCAGUAACAGCGGCGGCAGCAGCAGCAAGAGGGGAGGUGAACAGCCAAGCCAAGCCUGCUGCUCUGCCUCUUUGCCAGGCAGGCAGGCAGGAUAUCAAGCCCUGCCCCCGGCCCUUGGGAAGCCCAGCGCAGGGCAUGGGACCAGGAGGAGGAGGCGGGUAGGGACUCACUCACCGAGGCAGUUGCAGCUCGUCCUGAUCGCACUUUGCCUUCCAGCUAGUUGUUUGACGCAGAGAGAGAGAGGAGAGAGAGAGGAGCGUCCUGGCUCUGCCAGCAGCGGCGGGGGCACAAUGCAGCAAGAAGACCAAGGCGCACGCGACUUGCAAGAAGCAGGGCCGGGCAGCCCGCUGGCGACACGAUGUGGAGAGGGGGACCGAGCCCUACAAAGAGAGGAGCAGUUGGAAGGGGGUGUUUAGAUCUGGGGCCACCGGCUCAGUGCCAAAUGAUUAAAAAAAUCUCCUUUUAGUUACAGUAUUUUCCCCCUCACCUCCCAAACAGUCUCAGGGCUUUCGGUGGUGAGCCUGCGGGGCAGUCCUCGUUGUACAGCACGUAGCAGAAGAGGAAGAGGCAGCUGCCUUAGCUGCCCCACUAACUGGACACACUGAAAAAGAAGUCAUUCUUAACACGACACCGCCAUAAAUAAUCAGCAUGAUGUUCCAAAUGUCUGAUAAUGUCUAAUAAUCCAAGUUGAGAGAUCCCCCAACAACGAUUCAGGAACAAUGAAACACAGCUCUCUACUUUUUGGGUGGGAAGGAGAAAAUGUCCCUCUCUCAUAAAAUCUAGGGUGGAAGGCUGUAGCAACAAUCUGGAAAAGAUGAGCAACGAGUAAGAAGGCUCCAAAGAAAGUCUGGCAAGUGUUUGAGUCAUCUGAGCAAACAUGGGCUGAGCCAAAAAUGUUUUGAAUAUGGAUAAUUCUAGAGGAAUAAACACUCUCUCAAUG
Long non-coding RNA from Hemicordylus capensis (graceful crag lizard), 1052 nucleotides. RefSeq lists it as uncharacterized. The transcript has 3 exons. Lineage: Eukaryota; Metazoa; Chordata; Lepidosauria; Squamata; Cordylidae. The record is from RefSeq and is a predicted model, not a curated record.